GAACACAUCGGAAUCUACUCUGUCGUGGGGGAUAACGUAGGGAAACUUACGCUAAUACCGCAUACGACCUACGGGUGAAAGCAGGGGACCUUCGGGCCUUGCGCGAUUGAAUGAGCCGAUGUCGGAUUAGCUAGUUGGCGGGGUAAAGGCCCACCAAGGCGACGAUCCGUAGCUGGUCUGAGAGGAUGAUCAGCCACACUGGAACUGAGACACGGUCCAGACUCCUACGGGAGGCAGCAGUGGGGAAUAUUGGACAAUGGGCGCAAGCCUGAUCCAGCCAUACCGCGUGGGUGAAGAAGGCCUUCGGGUUGUAAAGCCCUUUUGUUGGGAAAGAAAUCCAGCUGGCUAAUACCCGGUUG
This 359-nucleotide ribosomal RNA is filed under the name Stenotrophomonas maltophilia. RNAcentral's name for it is "bacterial SSU rRNA". It matches the Rfam family "Bacterial small subunit ribosomal RNA", at positions 111 to 471 of the family's 1533-position model. Lineage: Bacteria; Pseudomonadati; Pseudomonadota; Gammaproteobacteria; Lysobacterales; Lysobacteraceae. The record is from RNAcentral.